AUUGAACGCUGGCGGCAGGCCUAACACAUGCAAGUCGAGCGGAUGAAGGGAGCUUGCUCCUGGAUUCAGCGGCGGACGGGUGAGUAAUGCCUAGGAAUCUGCCUGGUAGUGGGGGAUAACGUCCAGAAACGGGCGCUAAUACCGCAUACGUCCUGAGGGAGAAAGUGGGGGAUCUUCGGACCUCACGCUAUCAGAUGAGCCUAGGUCGGAUUAGCUAGUUGGUGGGGUAAAGGCCUACCAAGGCGACGAUCCGUAACUGGCCUGAGAGGAUGAUCAGUCACACUGGAACUGAGACACGGUCCAGACUCCUACGGGAGGCAGCAGUGGGGAAUAUUGGACAAUGGGCGAAAGCCUGAUCCAGCCAUGCCGCGUGUGUGAAGAAGGUCUUCGGAUUGUAAAGCACUUUAAGUUGGGAGGAAGGGCAGUAAGUUAAUACCUUGCUGUUUUGACGUUACCAACAGAAUAAGCACCGGCUAACUUCGUG
Molecule: ribosomal RNA, 484 nt
Filed under: uncultured bacterium
Lineage: Bacteria
Description: partial 16S ribosomal RNA
Rfam family: Bacterial small subunit ribosomal RNA
Source: RNAcentral